Ameiurus melas (black bullhead) is the source of this 75-nucleotide non-coding RNA. The record is from the annotation of a GenBank genome assembly. NCBI's taxonomy places the organism in Eukaryota, Metazoa, Chordata, Actinopteri, Siluriformes, Ictaluridae.
GCACGGUGGUUUAGUGGUUAGCACGUUCGCUUCAAACAUCCAGGGUUGGGGGUUCGAUUCCAUCAGCCCUGUGUG